GGGUUCGAUUCCGGAGAGGGAGCCUGAGAAACGGCUACCNNNNNNAAGGAAGGCAGCAGGCGCGCAAAUCACCCAAUCCCAAUACGGGGAGGUAGUGACAAUAAAUAACAAUAUGGGGCUCUUACGGGUCUCGUAAUUGGAAUGAGUACAAUUUAAAUCUCUUAACGAGGAACAAUUGGAGGGCAAGUCUGGUGCCAGCAGCCGCGGUAAUUCCAGCUCCAAUAGCGUAUAUUAAAGUUGUUGCAGUUAAAAAGCUCGUAGUUGAAUUUCGGAGUUUGUCGGUUGGUCGGGCUUCACUGUCCGCACUGGCCUGAUGGAUUCCUACCUUCUGAAUAACCAGCAUGCUAUUAAGUUAGUGCGUUGGGGAAGCAGAGCUAUUACCUUGAAAAAUUAGAGUGCUUAAAGCAGGCUUUUGCUUGAAUAGAUUAGCAUGGAAUAAUAAAAUAGGACGGCAUGGUUCUAUUUUGUUGGUUUCUAGGAUCACCGUAAUGAUUAAUAGGGAUAGUUGGGGGCAUUAGUAUUCAAUUGUCAGAGGUGAAAUUCUUGGAUUUAUUGAAGACUAACUUCUGCGAAAGCAUUUGCCAAGGAUGUUUUCAUUAAUCAAGAACGAAAGUUAGGGGAUCGAAGACGAUCAGAUACCGUCGUAGUCUUAACCAUAAACUAUGCCGACUAGGGAUCGGACGAUGUUAAUUUUUUAAUGACUCGUUCGGCGCCUUACG
Molecule: ribosomal RNA, 719 nt
Filed under: uncultured Glomeromycotina
Lineage: Eukaryota; Fungi; Glomeromycota
Description: SSU rRNA
Rfam family: Eukaryotic small subunit ribosomal RNA
Source: RNAcentral